Molecule: ribosomal RNA, 507 nt
Filed under: uncultured bacterium
Lineage: Bacteria
Description: bacterial SSU rRNA
Rfam family: Bacterial small subunit ribosomal RNA
Source: RNAcentral
GAUGAACGCUAGCGAUAGGCCUAACACAUGCAAGUCGAGGGGCAUCACAUGAAGUAGCAAUACGGAUGGUGGCGACCGGCGCACGGGUGAGUAACACGUAUGCAACCUGCCUUCAACAAGGGGAUAACCCGUUGAAAGACGGACUAAUACCCUAUAACACAGGGGUCCCGCAUGGGAAUAUUUGUUAAAGGACAACCGGUUGAAGAUGGGCAUGCGUUCCAUUAGCUAGUUGGCGGGGUAACGGCCCACCAAGGCAACGAUGGAUAGGGGAACUGAGAGGUUUAUCCCCCACACUGGUACUGAGACACGGACCAGACUCCUACGGGAGGCAGCAGUGAGGAAUAUUGGUCAAUGGACGCAAGUCUGAACCAGCCACGUCGCGUGAAGGAAGACGGCCCUACGGGUUGUAAACUUCUUUUGCAAGGGAAUAAAGUGGCCACGUGUGGCCUUUUGCAAGUACCUUGCGAAUAAGGAUCGGCUAACUCCGUGCCAGCAGCCGCGGUAAAU